UGCAAGUCGAGCGAGAAAAGGGGGGCAACUCUCUGAGUACAGCGGCGCACGGGUGAGUAACACGUGGGUAAUCUGCCCUGGAGUGGGGAAUAACACCGGGAAACCGGUGCUAAUACCGCAUACGAUCACGAUGUCUGCGGAUGUUGUGAUGAAAGGAGCAAUUCGCUCCAGGAGGAGCCCGCGGCUGAUUAGCUAGUUGGUGAGGUAAUGGCUCACCAAGGCUACGAUCAGUAUCCGGUCUGAGAGGACGGUCGGACACACUGGAACUGAGACACGGUCCAGACUCCUACGGGAGGCAGCAGUGGGGAAUUUUUGGCAAUGGGGGAAACCCUGACCAAGCAACGCCGCGUGGGUGAUGAAGUCUCUUGGGACGUAAAACCCUUUCGACGGGGAAGAAACCGCAAGGUUGACGGUACCCGUAGAAGAAGCCCCGGCUAACUCCGUGCCAGCAGCCGCGGUAAUACGGGGGGGGCAAGCGUUGUUCGGAAUUACUGGGCGUAAAGGGUGCGUAGGCGGUGCGCUAAGUCGGAUGUGAAAACUCUGGGCUCAACCCAGAGCUUGCAUCCGAAACUGGCGUGCUAGAGUUCUGGAGGGGGUAGCGGAAUUCCUGGUGUAGCGGUGAAAUGCGUAGAUAUCAGGAGGAACACCGGUGGCGAAGGCGGCUACCUGGACAGAAACUGACGCUGAGGCACGAAAGCUAGGGGAGCAAACAGGAUUAGAUACCCUGGUAGUCCUAGCCCUAAACGAUGGAUACUUGGUGUGACUGGGAUUGAACCCAGUCGUGCCGAACUAACGCAUUAAGUAUCCCGCCGGGGAGUACGGUCGCAAGGCUGAACUCAAAGGAAUUGACGGGGGCCCGCACAAGCGGGAGUAUGUGGUUUAAUUCGACGCAACGCGAAAACUUACCUGGGCUCGAACGGCUAGUG
This 926-nucleotide ribosomal RNA is filed under the name uncultured Pseudomonadota bacterium. RNAcentral describes it as "bacterial SSU rRNA". It matches the Rfam family "Bacterial small subunit ribosomal RNA", at positions 56 to 994 of the family's 1533-position model. Lineage: Bacteria; Pseudomonadati; Pseudomonadota. The record is from RNAcentral.